Molecule: ribosomal RNA, 1557 nt
Filed under: Scardovia inopinata
Lineage: Bacteria; Bacillati; Actinomycetota; Actinomycetes; Bifidobacteriales; Bifidobacteriaceae
Also listed under: 1 other name
Description: bacterial SSU rRNA
Rfam family: Bacterial small subunit ribosomal RNA
Source: RNAcentral
AGAGUUUGAUCAUGGCUCAGGACGAACGCUGGCGGCGUGCUUAACACAUGCAAGUCGAACGGGAUCCUGCUUGGUUUUUGCUGGGUGGGUGAGAGUGGCGAACGGGUGAGUAAUGCGUGACUAACCUGCCGUGUAGUUGGGUAUAGCUCCUGGAAACGGGUGGUAAUACCGAAUGGUCCACUGGGCUGCAUGGUCUGGUGGGAAAGUUUUGUGUGCUAUGCGAUGGGGUCGCGUCCUAUCAGCUUGUUGGUGGGGUGAUGGCCUACCAAGGCUUCGACGGGUAGCCGGCCUAAGAGGGCGACCGGCCACAUUGGGACUGAGAUACGCCCAGACUCCUACGGGAGGCAGCAGUGGGGAAUAUUGCACAAUGGGGGGAACCCUGAUGCAGCGACGCCGCGUGCGGGAUGGAGGCCUUCGGGUUGUGAACCGCUUUUAUUGGGGAGCAAGCUGGCCCUGUGUUGGGUUGGUGAGUGUACUUGGUGAAUAAGCACCGGCCAACUACGUGCCAGCAGCCGCGGUAAUACGUAGGGUGCCAGCGUUGUCCGGAUUUAUUGGGCGUAAAGGGCUCGUAGGCGGUUCGUCGCGUCUGGUGUGAAAGCUUACUGCUUAACGGUGGGUUUGCGUUGGAUACGGGCGGGCUUGAGUGCAGUAGGGGAGACUGGAAUUCUCGGUGUAACGGUGGAAUGUGUAGAUAUCGGGAAGAACACCUAUGGCGAAGGCAGGUCUCUGGGCUGUUACUGACGCUGAGGAGCGAAAGCGUGGGGAGCGAACAGGAUUAGAUACCCUGGUAGUCCACGCUGUAAACGGUGGACGCUGGAUGUGGGGCCUAUUUCCACGGGUUCUGUGUCGGAGCUAACGCGUUAAGCGUCCCGCCUGGGGAGUACGGCCGCAAGGUUAAAACUCAAAGAAAUUGACGGGGGCCCGCACAAGCGGCGGAGCAUGCGGAUUAAUUCGAUGCAACGCGAANAACCUUACCAGGGCUUGACAUGUGAGCGUUGAUCUUAGAGAUAGGGUUUCCCUUCGGGGCGCUUUCACAGGUGGUGCAUGGUCGUCGUCAGCUCGUGUCGUGAGAUGUUGGGUUAAGUCCCCGCAAACGAGCGCAACCCUUGCCUUGUGUUGCCAGCCGGUUCUUGCCCGGGGAACUCAACAAAGGGAACCGCCCGGGGGUUAAACUUCGGGAAGGAAAGGGUGGGGGAUGACGUCCAGAAUCAUCAUGCCCCUUAACGUCCUGGGGCUUCAACGCAUGCUACAAUGGCUGGUACAGCGGGGAUGCGAUACGGUGACGUGGAGCGGAUCCUGUAAAACCGGUCUCAGUUCGGAUCGGAGCCUGCAACUCGGCUCCGUGAAGGUGGAGUCGCUAGUAAUCGCGGAUCAGCAGUGCCGCGGUGAAUGCGUUCCCGGGCCUUGUACACACCGCCCGUCAAGUCAUGAAAGUGGGCAGCACCCGAAGCCGGUGGCCUAACCCUUGUGGGGAGAACCGUCUAAGGUGAGGUUCGCGAUUGGGACUAAGUCGUAACAAGGUAGCCGUACCGGAAGGUGCGGCUGGAUCACCUCCUU